GUGGGGAAUCUUCCACAAUGGACGAAAGUCUGAUGGAGCAACGCCGCGUGAGUGAAGAAGGGUUUCGGCUCGUAAAGCUCUGUUGUCGGGGACGAAUGUGCAGUAUUUGAAUAAAGUACUGCAAUGACGGUACCUGACGAGGAAGCCACGGCUAACUACGUGCCAGCAGCCGCGGUAAUACGUAGGUGGCAAGCGUUGUCCGGAAUUAUUGGGCGUAAAGGGAGCGCGGGCGGGAAGGUAAGUCGGUCUUAAAAGUGCGGGGCUCAACCCCGUGAUGGGAUCGCAACUAUCUUUCUUGAGUGCAGGAGAGGAAAGUGGAAUUCCUAGUGUAGCGGUGAAAUGCGUAGAUAUUAGGAGGAACACCAGUGGCGAAGGCGACUUUCUGGACUGUAACUGACGCUGAGGCUCGAAAGCCAGGGGAGCGAACGGGAUUAGAUACCCGGGUAGUCC
This 450-nucleotide ribosomal RNA is filed under the name uncultured bacterium. RNAcentral describes it as "partial 16S ribosomal RNA". It matches the Rfam family "Bacterial small subunit ribosomal RNA", at positions 354 to 796 of the family's 1533-position model. The record is from RNAcentral.